Molecule: ribosomal RNA, 260 nt
Filed under: Oryza sativa (Asian cultivated rice)
Lineage: Eukaryota; Viridiplantae; Streptophyta; Magnoliopsida; Poales; Poaceae
Description: partial 25S ribosomal RNA
Rfam family: Eukaryotic large subunit ribosomal RNA
Source: RNAcentral
GCGACCCCAGGUCAGGCGGGACUACCCGCUGAGUUUAAGCAUAUAAAUAAGCGGAGGAGAAGAAACUUACGAGGAUUCCCCUAGUAACGGCGAGCGAACCGGGAGAUGCCCAGCUUGAGAAUCGGGCGGCCGCGCCGUCCGAAUUGUAGUCUGGAGAGGCGUCCUCAGCGACGGACCGGGCCCAAGUCCCCUAGAAAGGGGCGCCUGGGAGGGUGAGAGCCCCGUCCGGCCCGGACCCUGUCGCCCCACGAGGCGCCGUC